Molecule: long non-coding RNA, 1757 nt
Organism: Pteropus alecto (black flying fox)
Lineage: Eukaryota; Metazoa; Chordata; Mammalia; Chiroptera; Pteropodidae
Exons: 2
Source: RefSeq, a predicted model, not a curated record
GGAAAUGCUAACACUAUCACUGGCUGCCUUCUUUCCUGUAGUAUAAACUUCAAGUACAUACCCCUGAUAUGUGAAACAAGCAAACUUAAUGACCCAGUUCAUCAGCUCUUCCUAAAUGCAGGCAUUAAGUCAAAAACUUUUUAAAAACUUUCUGAAUAGUCAUUUCUUUAAGAAAAUUUUAAUUACAGUUGACAUACAAUAUUAGUUUUAGGUGUACAACAUAGUGAUUCCUAUGUAGGCAUUUACAUAACCUACAAAGUGAUCACCUUGAUAAAUAUAGCACCCAUCUGAUGUCAUACACAGUCAUUACAAUAUCAUUGACUAUAUUCCCUAUGCUGUACUUCACAUCCCCAUGACUAUUUUGUAACUACUAAUUUGUACAUCUUAAUCUCUUCCUCUUUUUCACCGCCCCACCAAAUCUGGCAACCAUCAAAAUGUUUUCUUUACGAGUUUUUCUAUUUUGUUUGUUUGUUUAUUGUUUUUUAGAUUCCACAUUCUUGCUACUUAACAUAAACUGUUGACUGUCCUCUAGUCUCCUCACACAAGGAUGGUGGAUGUAAGAGGAAAUUUGAGAGCUGGAGGCCCAAGAACCAGACCCGCCAUCAUGGCAGGAGUUGGCAAACUAUGGCUGGCCCUCAAGCCUAAUCUGGCAUCUACAAGUUCCUGUAAAUCAAGUUUUAUUGGAACACAGCAACAUCCAUUCACUUACUUUGGUGUUUACCCCGACCAUUCUGUACUGCCUAUGGCUGCUUUCACACUACAAUAGCAGAGCUGAGUAUGUGAGACCUCUAUCGUAGCUUAUGGCCUACAAAGCCUAAUUUAUUACCUGCCCGUUUAUAGAAAACCUUUGCCUUCCUCUGCUCUAAGCCACAUAUACAUAUCAAAAUUGAUUGGGUGGUGGGAUUCUUUAAAUAAGUAAUCCACUAAAAAAUCCCAAAAGCCACUGCAAUAGGAACAUUUUAGACCACAGAUAGGAAAUUUCAAUCUAAUUUUCAAUUAUCAUUGGAAAUAAUUGAUGGACAUCAUUCUCUAUCAUACAUAGAAAGCACAACGCAUACUCAAAUGGAAACAAUCCUAUUUGAAAAAGUUUUAUUUAAAAAACUUUUUUAUACUUUGGACACUACAGAAGUCACUUACUUUGUUAGCAAAUACUUCUUUAAAAUAACCGCUCCUUAGUUUAUAUAUAUAAAAGCUUUAAAUGAGCCUGAUGUUUUUCUAGGGCAAUGGCUUAUUAUACUUUCAGUGGAUUUUCAUUUUCUUAAUUUUCUUACAUUUGCUUGCUUGUUAAAGUUGAAGUCAGAUUCCAAAAUUAUAAGUUAAUGAAAUAGCCUCGGAAGCAACAACUUACACUAUAUUAUAAAGUAAACUAGGGACUCAGAGCAAAGAAUUUUCUGAGCAUCAGGAAAGCCUAUAUCAAUUCCUUGACCAAAUGGUUGUACUUAUGUAGCAAGCUCACAAUUUUAUUUUUAUUAACCAAAUACUUUAAACAUGGGAAAUGCAUUUUAAAUUUAUGAGAACAUAUACUCAACCUUCCAGAUUUAAUGGAUGUUAACAUUUUGUCACACUUGUAUAAAACUUCUGUCUCUUGUUUGUAAGAAAUAAAUGGUUCUGAAUACAACUAUCUGGAUUCUGAAGGCUUUUGCCCUUCCUAUUUCCUUAGAUGUCAUCAAAACCUGAAGUUGUGUAUUUUUCCUUUCCAUAUUCUCGUACAUUUGAUAUAUUAAUAAACAAUAUAUGGUAUUGUUUCUAGUAUGAAA